UAUGUGAUCGUCUCUCGCAUAUCAAUAAGCGGAGGAAAAGAAACUAACAAGGAUUCCCCUAGUAACGGCGAGUGAAGCGGGAAGAGCUCAAAUUUGAAAUCUUAAAGGGUUUCCCUUUACGAAUUGUAGUUUAAAGAAGUGUUUUCUGUUGAGGUUUUGGUAAAAGUUCUUUGGAAUAGGACAUCAUAGAGGGUGAGAAUCCCGUAUUUGACCUUUACUUUCAACUUUGUGAUACACUUUCAAAGAGUCGGAUUGUUUGGGAAUGCAGUCCAAAAUGGGUGGUAAAUUUCAUCUAAAGCUAAAUAUUGGCGAGAGACCGAUAGCGAACAAGUACCGUGAGGGAAAGAUGAAAAGAACUUUGAAAAGAGAGUUAAACAGUACGUGAAAUUGUCAAAAGGGAAGCGUUUGACACCAGUGUUGUUUUUCUGAAAAUCAAUUAAAGAACUGUUUAUGCUAAGCUGUUUAGACUUUAUCAGCUAUCUGCUUAGUUUUGAGCUUUUCUUUAAUGCACUUUUCAGUUAACAAGUCAACAUCAAUUUCUUUUGCUGUAAAAAAGCUUGAGGAAGGUGGCUUGAGAUUCGUCUUAAGUGUUUAUAGCCUCUUGCCUAUGCAGUCGGAGAGAUUGAGGUUUGCAGCGUAGAUCCUUCGGGGCUAAAUGCAUUUGUGCUAAGUUAUAGCAUUUUAUAGACAACUUGUUGACUAUGAUUUGUCUUGUAGCUUACUCGCUUAUGUUAUUUUACCUACGCUUAGGAUGUUGAUCUGUAGUGCGUGCGC
Molecule: ribosomal RNA, 774 nt
Filed under: uncultured Neocallimastigales
Lineage: Eukaryota; Fungi; Neocallimastigomycota; Neocallimastigomycetes; Neocallimastigales
Description: partial large subunit ribosomal RNA
Rfam family: Eukaryotic large subunit ribosomal RNA
Source: RNAcentral